This 220-nucleotide ribosomal RNA is filed under the name uncultured bacterium. Its description in RNAcentral is "partial 16S ribosomal RNA". It matches the Rfam family "Bacterial small subunit ribosomal RNA", at positions 794 to 1014 of the family's 1533-position model. The record is from RNAcentral.
UCCACGCCCUAAACGAUGUCAACUAGCUGUUGGGGCCUUCGGGCCUUAGUAGCGCAGCUAACGCGUGAAGUUGACCGCCUGGGGAGUACGGUCGCAAGAUUAAAACUCAAAGGAAUUGACGGGGACCCGCACAAGCGGUGGAUGAUGUGGAUUAAUUCGAUGCAACGCGAAAAACCUUACCUACCCUUGACAUGUCUGGAAUCCCGAAGAGAUUUGGGAG